This 22-nucleotide non-coding RNA is filed under the name Mus musculus (house mouse). The record is from RNAcentral. Lineage: Eukaryota; Metazoa; Chordata; Mammalia; Rodentia; Muridae.
GAAUACAUUUGUGUGAGGUCUC